This 17024-nucleotide long non-coding RNA is filed under the name Phaseolus vulgaris (common bean). RNAcentral describes it as "long non-coding RNA (PVUL_LNC003204)". Lineage: Eukaryota; Viridiplantae; Streptophyta; Magnoliopsida; Fabales; Fabaceae. The record is from RNAcentral.
GUAAACAACCACGUUAUACAACCAUACAAAUUCUAUACCAUAUAUAGUGUAUUCUUCACAUUAUCACAGCAUUUAAAGAAAAAGAAAAAUAAUAAUAACACUGGUUUUUCUCAAAUCCAACAACAUAGAUUCAAACAAGUGAGUGAAUGAAGCAUUAUACAAAUAUCUCUGUGCAAAGGUAGGAAGAGAGUAAAAGCUCUUGUGUGCGUUGCUUAUUCAUUUCAUUCACUCUUUUUUUCCAUCAUCUAAAACACUUUAUCAAGUUAUUUUACCUAGCGAGAGGUAUGAGUUGGGCGCUGAAAUCCAGAUUGACCGGUUCAAUUGACUCUGCACUACUGUUAGGUUUUGUUCGAGCUAAUUCAGUUGCUAAGGUCUCCUUUAGUUCAAACACUACCACACUCAUAAUUGGUCUUUGGUUGGGACGUAGAGAAACACAAGCCAUUGCUAUUUCCACGGCUUUCCAGGCUGAGUUAAUGUCAAAAUCUCCUUCUAACCUUGAGUCAACAAUGGCCUUGAUAUCCCCUAUUGCAACCAGGGAUCUAACCCAUUCAAUUAUGUUACUCCUUUCUUCGUUCCUUGCUAUUACUUGCUGGCCUGUGAUUAUUUCCAGAAGAACCACUCCAAAGCUAUAAACAUCACUUUUUUCUGUUAAUCUAUUGUUUGUGUAAUAGCUGCAAUGAAUGCAAGACAUAUCAUGAAACUCAAUAUAUUUUCUGCCAGUGUAUGUGGUGAUAUCUCAAAAUCUCAGAAAUUAAUGGAUGGACAGUAAUUCAAGUUCUUACUCAGGGUCCAGGUAACCAGGAGUUCCAGCGACAACCGUUGACAAAUGUGAUGCCCCAUCAUCUGGGAUAAUUUUGGAUAGACCAAAAUCAGAUAACUUCGCUUGGAAGUGUUCAUUCAACAAGAUGUUUGAAGAUNNNNNNNNNNNNNNNNNNNNNNNNNNNNNNNNNNNNNNNNNNNNNNNNNNNNNNNNNNNNNNNNNNNNNNNNNNNNNNNNNNNNNNNNNNNNNNNNNNNNAUACUCCAAUCCUAUAUUAGAUUUAUGGAAAAUACAUUAACAAAACUGUCAAAACGCAUAAUCUGAAGUUGCUUUUCUUACCCAAGGCUGCGUCCACUGCUAUACGCAGUCUGUCUUCCCAGCUCAAGAAUUUUGAUUUACUGUGUGUACCUGCAAGAACAAACUCAGUAACUUUCAUACAAUUUGUACAGUUGAGCAAUAUGAAAAUUUCCAUAUCCAGAAUUUUGGAAUACAAAACUAACUAGGAAAUUGAUUUGCACAAACUUUUAACAAGACCUUCAUUUUAUUUGGGAACUAACCAGAGAGAUGUUCCAGUAAGUUUCCAUUGGCCAUGUACUCAUAUAUGAGACUCUUAUUGCUUCCUUCAUCACAAUAACCGAUAAGGGAAGUCAGAUUUUUAUGAUGAACUCUCAGUAGAAGUGUAACCUGAAAAAUCAAACCACUACCAUGUUUAGCCAUAUAUACUCAUUACUCAGCUCAAAAACCAAGUGCAAAGCGAUUAAAACUUACCUCUGCUUGAAAUUGUUCAUAACCACGGAAUGAUGAAGGGGAAAGAAUUUUGACAGCAACUGGAGUGUCAUAAAUAUAGCCCAGAUAAACUGUUCCAAAUCCUCCCCUACCAACAAUUGUAUUGAAAUUGUUGGUAAUUUUACAGAUGUCGGAGUGUGAACAUAUUUGUUUUUUAGACUGCUUUAAUGAAUCCUCUUGUUUUGUGUGCUGCUCGGAUAUCUCACUUUGAUCCUUUUCUACCAUGGAAGCUGUUAGAUAUUGUACAAUAGUUUGGAAAUGUCAGUUAAGAUUGAAUUUGUUUGGCAAAUUAUAAAAAAAUUAUGAAUGAUUUCAUCAUUGUAGCUUCACCUUUUGAUUUUCUCCUCCUAAGGAUCCACAAUAUAGCUGUCACGGUCCCCAGAAGGAUCAAACCCCCGCAGAUUGAUGCUACCAAGGGUAUAACAAUGUUAUUUCUGUGCUUUCUGUGCUCGAUGCAUUGACCAUGUUCACAGAUAUGUGGAUUUUGACCCAAACUGCAUGGAAAUCACAGAAGAUUUAUGUUCAAAAGUUUAAGCAACCUUGCAAGUAGAGUGAAAAUUAAUCAUGUCAACACUGGCUCUGAUAAAUCUGAGUUUGAUCACCCUUAAAAACAUAAUAUCUAAUUUUAAUCUAUGACUUGUUUUCAUAAAAAAGUUUGGUUUGGUCAAUAAGUACAUUUAAAAGUUUAUUUUAUUUUAUUUUAUCAACAAAAAAUGAAUGAAUAAAUAAGAGAUAUUUCAAGGAUACAUCAAUCCUUAUACAAAAGACCUACCUGAUGCUGAUAUCCUCUAUGCACCUUACAACAAUUGAAUAACCUAAAUGCAAACACCUUUUACUGAUGAUAAAUAUCUCCUAGAAAAGUUUAUUUCAUUUAAGACUUCCAAAAGAUUAAGUUAAAUACAAAUGAAUAAUCUCUCUUUCAAACACGUAUCGUCGUUACUUUAAGCAACCUUGUUAUGAAUUUGAGUAGUUUGAGUAAGAUUCAUAUACCUUAGGGUGAGAGAACCUUCCUUAGAUUUUUCAACAAGUGCCGAGGGAAUUGAACCGGAGAGGUUAUUCUUCUCCAAGUUUCUGCCAAAAAACGAAGAAAUAAUCCUUUAGUCUUUUCUGGUGCAGUGGAUAACAUAGUUUCAAGUAAUUGAGCAAGUGACUUACAAGAUCUUCAAGUGUUGUAAUUGAGACAGAAAAUCGGGAACCUCAUCGUUUAAGCUAUUAUUCGAUAAAUCCCUACAAAUUUAACAAACAAUUUAGCCUUUUUAAGUAUGUUUAAAUCUUGACUCAUGUGGCGAAAGAUAUUAAGUACAUACGAAAGAACAAAUUUCACUCAUUUGUUUUGCGAAUGCAGAGUUGCUUGGUUAAUUUGGAAUCUUUGUUAUGAUUGGUUAGGAGUAAGAUCUGUCGAUUUUAUGGAUCCUAGGUCUCAUUUUGAACAUUUCAAGAUUUUGGAUGCACCCACUUCAGUUAAUCUUAUUAUGGGUAAUGUGUGGAUAGCAUUGAUUAGUGAAAUUUGGAGGCAUAGGAACAACUGUUUAUUUAAAGGUAGAGUGGUUGACCACAUUGAGGUGUUCUCUUUGGCACAAAUUAAGGUUUGGUCCUGGAUCCCUUCAAAGGUACCGUCAGCUAAUUUCUCAUUCUCUGAUUGGUGUCUUGAACCUUUGGUUUGUAUGCAUUCAAUUUAGUUUUGAUAUGAGGAUUGAUCUUUGUUAUUCUUUGUUAUUUUGAUAGAGAUGGGUUUGACUGUAGGAGGUUUUGUUGGCUGAUUUGUAGUUAGAAAGGUAAUUUGUGAACAUCAUUUUACUGUAUAAGGGUUGGAUCACCCCUGAAGUGAUUCCUUUUAAUUUCAUUGCUAUUUGCUGAUAAAAAAAAACAUACGAAAGAACAAAAAGAAUUAAAACAAGAGAUUUGUCUGGUCUCAUGUAUUUCUGGAUGGGAUGAAAUAAAAGAAAAAACAAAAAAACUCACAGCUUCUCCAACAUGGUGAGCUUUGAGAUUGAAGGGUCUAUCUUUCCUGACAAUCCACUCGAAGAUAAAUUCCUGUUUUGCUCAAUCAAUAGUUAUAGUUAUGUCCGAUAUCAUCUCAGUUUUAUAAAGCAAUAAUAGAAAUUUGGGCUACAAAACUUACAAAGUUGUGAUUCUUGGGACCUCAUCGUCGCCAUAAGUACAGUUCAAACCAUCCCACAAGUAGGCUGCAGGGGCGCAUGGAUCACCUUGCCAAUCUCUUUUCACUCCAUAAACGGACUUGAUGCUUGUAAUGGCAUCAACUUUUUUUCAAAUGCAAAAGAGGAAAAGAAGGUAGUUAAGUUCGUGUACAAUAGUGAAAACCCAGUAAAUGGAUUUAAUAAAUAUAAGAUACCAUCUCCUUGGAAUGUUUCUGGUUUCUGUAAGUCGAUUACUGUGUAAACUUCAAGGGCACUGAUGAUGGGAGGCAGGGUUGAAUUUCCGGUCCUCACGAAUUCAAUUUCUUUCUCACUGAUGGCUGAAGAGGUAUAUAAAGUGUCAACAGCCAGGUAUCGCGGAGAAAAAUUUGGAAUCCAUAGUUCACCGUUCCUCAUGAUGUUGAAUUGUCUUGUCUGAUUGGUGGUUAACACUUGAAUCUCUGUGAAGUGCAUGUAAACAUAGAAUUCAUCAGUUUCAUGAUUUUGCCCCCAGCUUAUAGACAACGGAUCACUAGCAUUUGUUGGUGUAACUGCGGUCCUCAUGAUAGUAGCUCGGAGUUGGUAAUCGCCCUUAUCUAAAGAAUCAUCAGAAAUUGAACCACUUAGGUUUGUCCAAUCUUCGAAGGGUUCAAGGAUGUACCACAAACGAUCAUAAACAUCAGUCGGAUACCUGUGAGAAAAUCAGAAUAAAUCCAAUAAUCAAUCAAUCAAUCUUAUAAGGCAACAGAUUUGAUCCAUAAGUAUGAUUUCACCUGUAGAUUAUGUCUGAACCAAAAUCGUUACGCAGGUAAAGUUUCAGUGAUCCAUAUUGAGUGACGUAUGUAUGAUUUUUCAAAGUCCUGAAUUCUAUGGUUGUUAUAAAUGGUGUGCCAUGGCCUGUGUCAACCAGACAGAUUUGUACAUAAUCCAGUGAAGGUACGUGUAUGAUCUCCUCUAAUUGGGGAUUGGAUGCAUUGUUUAUAUUAACUGUAGCCCACUUGUUAGCUCCCAGAAGAAGAUCAAAAUGUGGUAGCAUAUUUCGGCCAUCAUAAUUUCCAUACAGAAAAGUAGUGCGGAUGAGAUACUUAGAGCCUCUUGUGACGUUUAUUUUGUAGCAGUUCCUUUUUCCUUCCGGGAAGCUUCUCAGCCUCCUCAGUAGUUGUAUAGUGCUGAUCUCAGAUGAUAUUGUCUCUCUCACACCACUAUUUAUGAUAUUUGCAUCCGAAACAUAAUUUAUGUGUGUUGAUGUGUCGGUAUAGUUCACACCUCCGCAAUCUAUGCUGAUGAAUCCUAAAACAUAAAAUUGAAUAUAUUACUGUUAAAGUUGCUACAAAGAGAAAGUGAGUGAAGUCUUUCUUUGCUUGAAGGGAUAAAAGGUCACUAAACCAACAUGAGUUUACUUAAGUAAUGUGCACCUCAUGAUACUUUGGACUAGUCCGACUAGUAAAUAUGGAGAUUUACAAAAUUUAUUUUUUUUUAUUUUUUUUAAUUAAACAAAUUUUAUUUUUAUUCUUUUUCUCUUUUUGUCUGUCUUCUUUUCUAUUAUUUUAGCACAGAAAAUAAUGAUAAAUGGUUGGUGUUUUGGUGUAACGAACCUGGUUGAGCAUGAGCAUGAAAAAGUAGAACAGCUAAAAGAGCAACGUAGAAAGGGAUCCACAUUGACUUAGACGACCUAGUCAACCUGUGAGCUUUUGAGGAAUUACAAACACUUUUUAGCUUUAAUUUCUCUAUACGUGUUUAAUUCUGCAAUCUGCAUCAUACAAAUAAUACUACUUAAUUCACCCAUCAAUCAACCUAAAUUCAAAUAAAAUCUGUAAUUUAAUUUUUUUAAAAACAGUUAGCAUAAAAGACUGAAUAUUAUCACAAAAACUGCAAGAUUGCUAUAUGCUACAAAAAAGAGAAAAAUAUGCAUACAAAAAAUAGCAGCAUCACUGAGGAAUAAUCUUUUUAAUUGGUUAAUGACCAUGUAUAAAAAUUAGUAUAUAUAUCCAACUAUAUUAACAUACUGAUCACUGUAAACCAGAAGAAGUAGUGAAUCUUAUUCUCUACUUGUAAUUUUUUGGUCUCAUGUUACUAUUGCAUAUGUGAAACUUAGGUGAUAAAUCAUGUUACCUUUGUCAAACUCACACGUACUUUCAGUUUAAUAACAGUAAUUUGAAGAUUAUGAGUAUACCAUAUAAAAAUAUAUUAGAAAAGAAACAUAAAAGAGAGGAGACCAACAAAUGCAUGCAUUUAAGAAAAAGAAAACAAUAUCCUAGUUACCACUGCAGAAACAUAUAUAUAUAUAUAUAUAUAUGUAUAUAUCGGAAGUUAUGAAUCAACAUAAGGCACAAAUAGAAAGACACCGUGUAAUUGCUUGGGAAGGUGUUUCUCUGCUGCUACUGUGAUAUCUCUCCAAGGUAGGUUUUUGGUGGAUGAAUAAUGGAGAUGGAAAGUAGUUUAUAAUAUGGUUAUAUAUGAUGAAAAGUAUUUGACAUGCCAAGGUUUGUCCUUACAGUACAAGCCAAUGUGGAAUAAUUGCAGUGGUAGAAGCCAAUGUGGAAUAGUUGCAGUGGUAGAACCCUAAGCCAAUGACCUUGACUUACUUUCAAAUACAAAACAAAAACUAACCUUUCUUUCUUUCUUUCCUUCCAACUUCCACAACCACACAUCUUACCACUUAUAAUUAUUAUUGGAAAAAAAAAUACUGCAACUCACAAAUGAGAAAAUUGAGAAAGAGAUUCUAAUAUAUUACUUGUUGUUUCUAGAAGAUGAAGUUGUUUAAUGGAGGAUUUUUUUUAUAAGAAAAGAUAAAUUAAAUGGGGAUAUUUCACACUUUUUCAAUUUGCCAACACCCCAAACACCAAAAAAAACCCUACAAAAUAUUCACACACAAAAAACACUACCUACAUUAAUCCUACUUUCACAUAGUUAGGAACUAAACUCUGUAAAAAACAAAAGUCCAAAUUUCAUAAUACACAUAAAAACAGCUUUACCCAUACAGUCAUUGAUGAUCCUACCUACCUUGUAUUCUAUCUUACCACAUAGUGCUUGAAUUGAUAUGCAUUACCAAACAAAAAGCCUGCAUUUUAGAUAGUUGUUUCUAUGGCUAGUUUCCACACCUAUACCUGACUAGUCAAUUGUCUCCUGUGACCGUUGGCAUGGUCACAGUAAGAACCCUUUCCAAAUACAAAACCAUCUUCAUUCCCUCUUCCUUACAUCCAAUUGUCUACUCUACGGUUUCCAAGUAAUCCAUUUACAUAACAUUUGCUGCAGAUUCUGCAAUCUCUGCAUCUCUUCAUUCCCUCUUCAGGGGCUUUUUCAGUGAAGUCUGCCUAUGCAUGGUUGUCUAACCAAGAUUCUGGCACUAGGGUAGGUAUCUUUAAAAUGUUAUGGCAAACAAUAGCAACGCCAAGAGCCCAAACAACUGCGUGGAGGAUCCUGUUAGAUAGACUCCCCACAAAAAACAAUCUCAUUCGGAGAGGUGUUAUUAUUAGCUCGCCAUUAUGCGUGUUCUGCCAAGCCACGGACGAGUCAACCCAAGACUUGUUCUGCGAGUGCGCACAUACUCAGCGAGUUUGGUCUCUCUGUUAUAAAUGGAUAGGUGUAGUGCUGGCACAACAUAAUGAGCUGAAGUGUCACUUUGAGACUUUUCACCUCAUGCAAUUCACCUCUAAGCAGAAUCAACUCUGGAAAAGCAUGUGGGUGGCAAUAGUUAGGUGUAUAUUGGAUCAAAGAAAUAAUAUCAUUUUUAAGCAGGGAGUUCCAGAUGCAGAAGAAAUUUUUCACUCAGCGCAACUAGUCUCCUGGCUGUGGUUGAAGCAUAAGAUAAAACUCUUUACUUUUGCCCUGUCUGAUUGGAUCCUAAAUCCUAACCAGUGCAUACGAAGCGUGGAUUGAAAGGAAGGGAUGCUGGGAGCCCUCUCGGGUGCUAAGGGGGGAGUACGGUUGGAGGUGGAACAUACUGGUCUGUCAGUUGGCCUAAUAGGACUCCGGUCUGUAGGCAAUGGAGGUAGGAGGAAUGGCGGUUGGAUGUAGUAGCUGUUGGACAACGAAAUCUUGCUUUUGGGCGAUAUGAGCGAGAUUGGCAAUGUCCAGAACUUCAUAGUUGGGGAUUAGGUGGUCUGAUCAGUUGGUUCCGAGGCCCUGGUGGAGCAGUUUUAUUGGGUUUCUUUUUCAGGUUUUGGGUACAGUGAGGCAUUACAGGAGGACUGGAUACCCCCGUGGCUGGUCUGGAUAACUGAAGGUUCGUGAAGCAUGUUUGGUGCCACGAAAAGCUAGGACACAACUGCAGCCUUAUUGUUUUUGCUGCUAAGGAAAUAGGUCAUAGUGGAAUAGGGGUUAGUGUUUUCACGGGAUGGUUAUAUACGCUUCUGUUUCACCUGCGGGGUCAAUAAGGUGUGGCAUGGGUGUGAUUCUUGUUGGAAUGGGGCAGUGGGAUCUAAUUCAGAGAGCCAUAAUGAAAAGCAUGUUAGUCACUGGGUAGUGGAAGGAACGUGUAGCAAUGCUGUCAUGGGUAUAACAGGCCAAUGUCUUUACGUGGCAGUAGUAGAGAUCACACUCUGGUACAAAACUGUGUAAUUUCGCCACUUCCAUGGUGAAAAAAAAAGGGGUUUAACUACUGUUUAGACCUCCUCUGUGCACUUGGCCACAAUAACUAGAAUGUUUGUAUAGUGGUCAUUUUCUGUAUAAGGGUUGAAACAAUCCUGAAGUGUCUCUCUUAAUUUCAUUUUAUUAUUUGCUGAUAAAAAAAAAUCUCUUCCUGCCAGCUCCUCUAUACUCCAAGAUUUUUUUUGAUAUAGUAUGACCAUGCCAGGACCAAUAGAUUCAGAUUUUACUAAAAAGACACUACAAAAGAAAAAUAUUAAAUAAAAAUUAAUUUUAGAGACAAAAAAUAAUUAGUUAUUAUAGUGACUAAAUUAAUAUUAUUUUAAAAAUUAAAAAAAUUAUUAAUUUCUAAAUUAGUUUCUAAUUGAUAAAUAGUUUUUAAUUUAGUAUCUAAUUAGUUACCAAGAUUUUAAUUACUUAUUAUUUAGAUUCUAAAUUUAGUAGCAAAAAAUUAGUAACUAACUAGAUACUAAUUUAAAAACUAUUUAUCAAUAAUAGAAAUAAAUUUAGAGACUAAUAAAUUUUUUUGUCUUUAAAAUAGUAUCUAAUUUAGUCCCUAUAACAAUUAAUUAUUUUUUAUCUCUAAAAUUAGUUUUUAUUUAAUGAUUUUUUUUAGUGAGACAACAACAUUCGCCUUAUGUAAAACAAAAAGAAUAGGAGUAAGAUAACAAAAAAUACAGUGCCUAAGCAUAUUAAAAUAUAAGAUAAGAUGGUUGUGCUUAAAUUUUACAAAAAGAGGAUUAGCCUAGAUCUUAGAAUUAGAAACAAAUAAAAAUAGAAGGGUAAGUUACAAUCGUUUUGAAAGGAUUUUUUUCUUUAUUGGCAAAAAAUAUAAUAAAUAAAUAAAAGGGAUAUUUCAGGUAUCCCAAGAAGUCAUAUAUAUACAAGUAGCAAAGAGACUCUCAUCUCUAUAGAAUUAAUUUUUUUAAACAUUUCUUCUAUACAAAAAUGCUAAUUCUAACCAUUUACAGCAAUUACAUCAGCUGCAAAGCCAGAUAGACCCGAUAGACCCCUGACUUACAAUAAUUUGGCAAUGAAUGCUGAAGAAUUGUUUUAAAGGAUUUUGUUAAUUGGUUACUGAAACAAUAAAAUAUAUUAAUUGUUAUUUUUAUAAGAAAGAAGUUGCUGACAAAUUUGAAUAUUUCAUUAAUCUUUGUUGAUCGAUUCUAUUUAAAAAAAUGGAGUCUGAAAAUUCCCUCAUUUUAUAGUUCCAAUUUCACACUAAUUUAUGUAUCAUAAUAAUGAUAAUUAAUGAUAGUAUUUGUUUUAUUUUUUAUUUUCACGAUACACAUAAUUUGGUACGCUAAGGUGUAUAUUAAAAGUAUAUUAUAUUAAGAAUAUUGCUUCAAAUUAUUAAAUGUAAAUGCUUGAAGAAUGAACAUUAAUACUCGCUAAUUAAAUGUGCAGUAAUAUAAGUCUUCUGCAGGUUAACGCGCGUAAAUAUAUGCCCUAUAUUUAACGACGUACACGUAUAUAACUGAUCACAAUAAACUAAUUAAUUCAAAUUUUACAAACUUUAUAAAUUAUUUCUAUAUUACAAAUUCAUUAAAUAGAAGGAAAAUGACGAAAAGGGGCCUCCUUUAAAAAUAGAAAGAAUAAGGAAAUGUGUGGUGUGAGGUCAUGAGAGAAAUAGGAUAUUAAAAAAAAUUAAAAAGAACAAAACAGACAUUUGACAUUUUAUAUGCAGGUGGAGGGAGAACCAUGGAAGUGCAGGGAGAAUGAGCUCUUUUUUUUUUUCUUUCACUGCAUAUAAUCUCAUCACUGAUUAAAUGGGAUGGGUUAACAUUUUAAUUUGGACAAUUUCUUCAUGUACCCCCAUAAAAAACGCUAAAUAACAACUUUAUUCUUUUCUUCAUUUUUUCAUUAAUAUCUUUCCUUUUUUGGAUUUUGAAAUUUCAAAUUCUAGAAUUUGAAAUACAAAAUUAUAUUCCAAAUUUUAAAAGUUGAAAUAUAUUUUUUUAAUUUGAAAAUACCUUCCGAACUGUAUUAAUGUAUCUUCUGCAUUUCAAAUUCUAAAAUUCAUAAGAUAUUUUAAUUUUAGAAUAUAAUUUUGUAUUUCAAAUUCUAGAAAUUCGAAAGAUCUACAGAUUAUAUAAUUUGAAAAUGAGAAAAAAAUAAUUUCUACCUUUUAUUUAAAGAUUAUUUUGGAAUUGAAAAAUGGUAUGAAGAUGAUUGAAGAAAAUAGGAGGUGAAGAAAGAAAUUUACUUUAAUUUGUUUGAUUAUGGCAUUCUUUAAAUUGACAUGUCACUACAAGAAAAUCAUGAAAUAGAAACCAAUUUUUAGAAACCAAAAUAAUUAGUUGCAAUAGUAACUAAAUUAGAGACCAUUUUAGAAACUAAAUAAUUGGUAUCUAAAACCUUAGUUGCUAAUUAGAUACCAAUUUAGAAACUAUUUAACAAUAAUCGAAAAUAAUAGAAACUAAUUUAGAAACCAAUUUUUUUGUUAGUUUCUAAAACGGUCUCUAUUUUAGUUCCUAUUGUAACUAAUUAUUUUGGACUCUAAAAAUUGAUUUCUAUUUCAUGAUUUUCUUGUAGUGUGUUUGAUCGUUGAUAUGUAAUAUAUUAUAUUAUAUGAAAAAGGUGAUAUGAAAAGGAAUUCUUUACUAUUAUAACCAUAUUAUAAAUUUAUAUAUAAUUAAAAGAAUUUUAUUUACAUGAUUUAUAUAUGUUUUUUUUUCAAAAGAAAUAUCAAUUUAAGCAGAUUUUUUUUCUUUCAUUUGUCUCAUACUCACUCAUGGAAAUUUAAUACUGUGAUUUGAAGUGGACGCACAACAAACUGUUAAUUGAUCAUUUAAAGUUAUUUCUUUCUAUACAUAUGUCUACAAUUAAUUAGACACUGGACGUCUCACCAAUGUAUUCUGAUUUUUAUACAUAUUCUUAUUUACUAUUUCUAUUUAUUUAUUUAUUAUAAUAAUAGAUAAGUUUAUUACCAAAUCAGAACAUAAAGAUAUGGCUUAUUUAAAAGGUUUCAUUCUUAGCAAAACCAACUAGAAAAUAGCAAAUUAUGAGUAUGUAAGUUAAAUAAAUCAGAUAUUAUAUGCAUGUACCUUGUACAAAUCCAUAAAUAUUCUUUCAUAAGAAAAUAAUAAUUAAUAUAUAUUAGAUAAUAAUCUAGGAAUAAGCAUGUGAACAAACUAAUAAAUCGUAUAAUUCAAUUAAUCAUGACUAAAUACACUCAAUUUUAAGGUAAUAAAUUAAGGACAAAUCACAACUUCUAUGUCCUCUAGCUUAAAGAGUUUUGACAUUUUUUUUACCGAACUCUAUUAAUUUGUUUUGGAGUUGUAUAGGAGAAUUCUAAUAGAGUAUAAUAUAAAGUAAACAUAAAAUAUAUCCUAUUAUUAAAUCCUCAUAGAAAGAGAUUUAUAGUUCAUAAUGACUUUAUCAACUUGAAUAAAAUUAAUUUUUUAAAAUAUACUUGUAUUCUACGUGUCUUGCCACUUACUACUACUGAAAUCGGUUUUAAAAUAUACUUGCAUUCACAUUCUCAGCCUGUUCCGCAAGUUCUAAUUCAAUGGGAUUCUUUGGAUGUUUCGAAUAUACCAGUAAAUAGUUUCUGAAGUUUUUGUCAACAACAUUAUAUGGUGUACCUUGUUCUAUUGUCUCUGAUAUGGAUCGAAUCUUUAUUAGCUCAUUUCGGAAGCAUCUUUUCAAAGCUCAGGGUACUACACUUGCUAUGAGUUCUUCUUACCAUCCACAAUUGAAUGGCCAAACAGAUAUUUUGAAUAAAACCUUAGAACUGUAUCUUCACUGCUUUGUUUUUCAAAAUACUAAAGGGUGGUUGGUUUUGAUGUUGCAGGAAAAGUGCACGUAUAACAGGUUUACGUAAGUCUAGGAACCAUACAUCGUGGGUCUUGGAGGUGGAAGAGACUUCCUUGACGCUGAACCUUUGUUAACCAUUCCUGGACUUCUUUGUGGAACUGUAUUCUGCAGUCGGUUACCUUUUGGACUUGAAUUCUGCAGUAGCUGACCUUCAUGUAAGUACUUUUUUGGAUACAUAGUAAAGCGCUUAUGUACAAGCUAGUAUCAAGAACCAGUUUGGCAGUAGAUGCUUUUGAAAAGCUUUUUGGAAUGUAAUACAGUGUAUGUUUGGACAUGGCAGCAACUUUUUUGGGUCAGAGUCAUUUAGCCUCUCCUCUUUUGUGCAUAUGGAUUGGAGUAUCUCUUAAAUACUUCUUUCAUUCUAAUUUAUUCUUUGCUGAUAAAAGAAAAUGAGAUACAAGAGUUUUUUCCAUAAUUCAACUUGAGGACAAGGUUCCUUGUAACGUGUAAGAAAAAUGAGAGCAUAAAAAAUGCAAAGCUAGAGGUAACUGGGAAAAGUAGUUGCCCCAAAAAGAUCACAUGCCACGCAAUCAACAAGAGACAACAGAAAAGCAUGAGAGGUAACAGAGAGAAUGGAUUUUUAAAGGACUAUGUGCUCUAAGAGGGAUUAUUGUGUGGUGUGAUUCUUCUAUUUUCUCCUCUGUUCCUCUCUCUCCCUAUGGUUUCCAUUUCUUCUCUAUUUGAAAUAUUUGUUGUUACUGAAUGAGGUACUAUGAUCCAGGCUUAAUCAACUUGAUCGUGGAUGUUGUGAAUUUUUCUCUUCUUUAAUGCACUGAGACAUUAAUCCUUCAUGAUCAUAUCAUAUUUGUAAACAACCACGUUAUACAAUCAUACCAAUUUUAUACAAUAUAUAUAAACGAAGUGAAGGGCAUCUAGGUGGGGACCAUUGGUGUGAGGAGCCAAGCACUAAGCAAAGAAGCUUUUCAAAGCUAGAUUCAAAGCAACGAAAGAUUUAGGGGUAAGACUGGAUGAAGUUGAAUUCAAGUCGCUAUCUCCGACUGAUAACGAGGGUCUCCUAUCAUCUUUCUCUGAGAAAGAGAUUAGGGAUGCAGUGUGGCAGUGUGAAGGUACAAAAAGUUCGGGCCCAGAUGGUUAUAACUUCAACUUCAUCAAAAAGAAUUGGGAGUUGCUAAAAGAAGAUUUUGUGGCAGCGUUGUCCCUGUUUCAUGAGACGGGAUGUAUCCCUAAGGGCUGUAACGCCUCUUUCAUAGCUUUGGUUCCUAAAGUUAGGGACCCGUCCAAGCUCGAGCAAUAUAGACCCAUCUCAUUAGUUGGAGCUAUGUACAAGAUUAUUUCGAAGGUUUUAGCUAGUAGAAUGAAGAAGGUGUUGCCCUCUUUGAUAGAUGAAUGACAAUCAGCCUUUGUGAAAGGAAGAGGGAUCUUAGACAGUGUUCUUAUGGCCAAUGAAGUUGUUGAGGAUUUAAUGAGAAGUGGGAGAAGAGGGUUGUGCUUAAAAGUGGACUUCGAAAAAGCAUAUGACUCGGUUAGAUGGGCGUUCUUAUAUGAUAUGCUAUCCAGGAUGGGGUUUCACAACCUCUGGAUCGCAUGGAUUAAAGGAUGUCUGGAAUCCGCCACUGUGUCUGUGUUAGUCAAUGGGAGCCCUACGGAGGAAUUCAAGCCGACUAGAGGGUUAAGGCAAGGAGACCCACUUGCACCCUUCCUUUUCCUAGUUGUAGCUGAAGGCCUUGCUGGGAUAGUUAGAAGUGCUAACAAAACCACUUUACUGACGGGCCUCAAGUUUGGAAGGAAGGAGAUUGAGGUGUGCAUCCUCCAGUUUGCGGAUGACACUAUUUUUCUAUGUGAAGACUCCUUCAACAACGUGGUAACCUUGAAGGCCAUUCUAAGGGGGUUUGAAUUAGCCUCAGGGUUGAAGAUCAACUUCCAUAAGUCAAAGCUUGCAGGCAUCAAUGUUCAAAGUAGUGAUGUAGCAUGUUAUACAAAGACGUUGAACUGCAAACAAAUGGGAGUAUUGUUUAAAUAUCUGGGCCUUGAAGUAGGAGGUAACCCCAGGAAGAAGCAGUUCUGGGAUCCGGUCGUUAACAAGUUAAAAGUGAAGCUCAGUGUGUAGAAAGAGAGAUUUUUAUCCAUGGCAGAGAGAAUUUGUCUUAUCAACUCUGUCAUAUCUGCUAUACCUCUGUAUUAUCUCUCCCUUUUCAAAGCCCCUGACUCAGUCUGUAAGAGGAUUACCUCUAUCCAAAGGAGAUUCUUGUGGGGUUGGGGGAAAGAAAGCAAGCCAAUUUGUUGGGUUAGUUGGGAAGAUGUGUGCAAACCUAAAGAGGAUGGAGGAUUGGGUUUAAGAGAAAUACGAAAGUUAAACGCUGUAUCUCUCAAGAGGAGGGAAGGUGGAAGGAGUUAUUGGACUCAAAGUAUGGGUUGGAGCCUGGAAGCGUCCAUUCACUAGCCAAACUCCAAUCUUGGUGGUGGAAAGAUCUCUAUAAAGUGUGCAAGGAGGGAGGAGGAAAAGGAUGGUUUCAAGAAGAACUAAGCUGGAAACUAGGGUGUGGAGACAAAGUAAAGUUCUGGGAGGAGGUGUGGGUUGGGAGCUCUGAUCUCAAAUCCUUGUUUCCUAGACUGUUCUCCCUAUCCUUAAACUAGGGGCAAACAGUGGGUGAAGUUGGCGUGUGUAUUAAUUCGGAUUGGAGAUGGAGGCUGACAUGGAGGCGUGCCAGAUUUGAGUGGGAAUCAUCACUGGAAGCAGACCUCUUUACACUGCUAUCAGGGGCACAAAUGAGAAGGAAUGAUGUGGAUGUGCAGGUGUGGGGGAAAGAAGAACCAAGCCUUUUUUUCUGUGAAUUCUUCUUAUGAGUGCCUUGCCAAGCAGUCUCGUGGAACCCAAUCCGAUGUGUUUAAUUUUCUUUGGAAGACUAAGGCAUUCCCAAAUGUGAUCGUGACAGCUUGGAGAGUGCUGCUGGAUAGAAUCCCAACAAGGGUGAGUUUGAGUAGGAGAGGGGUGAUGAUGGAAUCUACGUUAUGUGCAAUGUGUCAGCUUAAGGAGGAGUCUUGUCAACAUAUCUUCUUGGAGUGUAAAUACGCACAAUGGGUAUGGUCUUUGUGCUUCAAAUGGAUAGGUAUCUCUUCUGUUCAACAGAAUGAUUUAAAUCUGCACUUUAUGAGUUUUUAUGGAAGCAAAACCUAGUAUGGAAAGGUGUUUGGGCAUAUGUUAUUAGGUGUAUCUGGAACCAAAGGAACUUGAUUGUAUUCAAAAAAGGGCUAGUAGUUGCGGAGGAGCUGUUUCAGAAGGCUCAACUCAAAUCCUGGCUUUGGAUGAAGCACAAGGUGCAUUCCUUUACUUAUUCUUUCGUAGACUGGAUUCUUAAUCCAAUGCUUUGCAUUAGAAGUUAUAAUUAGGACUCCCAAAUGCCAAGAGUUUUAAGACUACGGCCUAUACUGAAUUUAUAGUUGGUUGGAAGGGUUGGUGGGUCUGUCACGGCUUGCAGCUGGUGCAAGAUGAAAAGGUCAUAUGUGCUUGUAUGCAAGGGAGUCAAAAGGAAUGUUAAGGACAUGAUGGAGGAUUCUGUUUUGAUGUGUCUUAUAACAGACCAAUAGAGGUAGGGUGUAUGCUGGUUCAGGGUUCUUUUUGCAGGAAACAAAAACUGUAUUUUUAUGUGGUGUUUUGGUUGUUGUGGAAAUCCCUAAGUGUGUUUGCUGAUCAACUAGUGGUCUCACAUGUGGGUGGUAGCAGUAGAGGUUGUGGUGGGGAUUUAGACAUGUUGGGGGAUGUAAGUCGAAGUUGUAAACCCCAACCAAUCUAAGUGCGAGAUGGACCCUGGCAAGUAGGAAGUUGGUUUCUGAAAAAAGUGAGCUUAAAAGGAGCAAACAGGGGGAAGCCAAAGUCCAAAAAGGAACGAAUGGAAGUUGCUGCAUUGAAGUGAUUAAUUCUGUGACAAGUGCUACAAUCGUGCCACUGCAAGCUGGGAAGAAGGAAUGUCAAUGAGGUGGUGGAGAUAACCAAUAUUUUGGUGUAUUUUGAUUGUUUUGUAGCUGCAGUGCAGUUCUUAUACGAGCACGGUGCUAGCUGGAAUAGGAUGUCUAGCUUAUGCAGCAAACAUUAUCUAUCUAUUGCUUCUGGGGUGUUUGUUCAUCUCUUUAUUCUUGGAGAUUCUUAAUGUGAUUUGGUUUAUGUAAAAGGGUUGGGAUACCCCUUUUGUAUCCCUCUUAAUUUAAUUUCAUUCUUUACUGAUAAAAAAAAAAGUAUUCUUCACAAUAUCAAAGCAUUUAAGGAAAAAGAAAUAUAAUAAUAACACUGGUUUUUCUCAAAUCAUCCAUGUGGCCCUCAACAACAUAGAUUCAAACAAGUGAGUGAAUGAGGCAUUUAUACAAAUAUCUCUGCACAAAGGUAGGAAGAGAGUAAAAGUUGUUGUGUGCGUUGCUUAUUCAUUUCAUUCACUCUUUUUUUUCAUCAUCGAACACACUUUAUCAAGUUAUUUUACCUAGCGAGAGGUAUGAGUUGGGCGCUGAAAUCCAGAUUGACCGGUUCAAUUGACUCUGCACUACUGUUAGGUUUUGUUCGAGCUAAUUCAGUUGCUAAGGUCUCCUUUAGUUCAAACACUAUCACACUCAUAAUUGGUCUUUGGUUGGGACGUAGAGAAACACAAGCCAUUGCUAUUUCCACGGCUUUCCAGGCUGAGUUAAUGUCAAAAUCUCCUUCUAACCUUGAGUCAACAAUGGCCUUGAUAUCCCCUAUUGCAACCAGGGAUCUAACCCAUUCAAUUAUGUGACACCUUUCUUCGUUCCUUGCUAUUACUUGCUGGCCUGUGAUUAUUUCCAGAAGAACCACUCCAAAGCUAUAAACAUCACUUUUCUCUGUUAAUCUAUUGUUUGUGUAAUAGCUGCAAUGAAUGCAAGACAUAUCAUGAAACUCAAUAUAUUUUCUGCCAGUGUAUGUGGUGAUAUCUCAAAAUCUCAGAAAUUAAUGGAUGGACAGUAAUUCAAGUUCUU